RNAcentral lists this ribosomal RNA (549 nucleotides) under uncultured Glomus. Its description in RNAcentral is "SSU rRNA". It matches the Rfam family "Eukaryotic small subunit ribosomal RNA", at positions 548 to 1098 of the family's 1831-position model. Lineage: Eukaryota; Fungi; Glomeromycota; Glomeromycetes; Glomerales; Glomeraceae. The record is from RNAcentral.
UUGGAGGGCAAGUCUGGUGCCAGCAGCCGCGGUAAUUCCAGCUCCGAUAGCGUAUAUUAAAGUUGUUGCAGUUAAAAGGCUCGUAGUUGAAUUUCGGGGUUAGUAGGUUGGUCAUGCCUCUGGUAUGUACUGGUCUCACUGAUUCCUCCUUCCUUAUGAACCGUAAUGCCAUUAAUUUGGUGUUGCGGGGAAUUUGGACUGUUACUUUGAAAAAAUUAGAGUGUUUAAAGCAAGCUAACGCUUGAAUACAUUAGCAUGGAAUAAUGAAAUAGGACGUUCGAUCUUAUUUUGUUGGUUUCUAGGAUUGACGUAAUGAUUAAUAGGGAUAGUUGGGGGCAUUAGUAUUCAAUUGUCAGAGGUGAAAUUCUUGGAUUUAUUGAAGACUAACUACUGCGAAAGCAUUUGCCAAGGAUGUUUUCAUUAAUCAAGAACGAAAGUUAGGGGAUCGAAGACGAUCAGAUACCGUCGUAGUCUUAACCAUAAACUAUGCCGACUAGGGAUCGGAUGAUGUUAAUUUUUUAAUGACUCAUUCGGCACCUUACGGGAAAC